AAAAAAGUUUGUUUGGGUUUU
This 21-nucleotide microRNA is filed under the name Bos taurus (domestic cattle). RNAcentral's name for it is "bta-miR-2284aa". The record is from miRBase by way of RNAcentral. Lineage: Eukaryota; Metazoa; Chordata; Mammalia; Artiodactyla; Bovidae.